UAGGGAAUCUUCCGCAAUGGACGCAAGUCUGACGGAGCAACGCCGCGUGAGUGAAGAAGGAUUUCGGUUCGUAAAACUCUGUUGUUAGAGAAGAACAGCGCAUAGAGUAACUGUUAUGCGUGUGACGGUAUCUAACCUGAAAGCCACGGCUAACUACGUGCCAGCAGCCGCGGUAAUACGUAGGUGGCAAGCGUUGUCCGGAUUUAUUGGGCGUAAAGCGAGCGCAGGCGGUCAAUUAAGUCUGAUGUGAAAGCCCCCGGCUCAACCGGGGAGGGUCAUUGGAAACUGGUUGACUUGAGUGCAGAAGAGGAGAGUGGAAUUCCAUGUGUAGCGGUGAAAUGCGUAGAUAUAUGGAGGAACACCAGUGGCGAAGGCGACUCUCUGGUCUGUAACUGACGCUGAGGCUCGAAAGCGUGGGUAGCAAACAGGAUUAGAUACCCUGGUAGUCCACGCCGUAAACGAUGAGUGCUAAGUGUUGGAGGGUUUCCGCCCUUCAGUGCUGCAGUUAACGCCUUAAGCACUCCGCCUGGGGAGUAAGACCGCAAGGUUG
Molecule: ribosomal RNA, 550 nt
Filed under: uncultured bacterium
Lineage: Bacteria
Description: bacterial SSU rRNA
Rfam family: Bacterial small subunit ribosomal RNA
Source: RNAcentral